Molecule: long non-coding RNA, 766 nt
Organism: Nematostella vectensis (starlet sea anemone)
Lineage: Eukaryota; Metazoa; Cnidaria; Anthozoa; Actiniaria; Edwardsiidae
Exons: 2
Source: RefSeq, a predicted model, not a curated record
CGUAUAGACCUCCUCCCCCUGUGCUUCGGUCAGCACUGAUGUGUAAAACCCAAACAAAAUAUUUGCCCAACAUCGAGGAUUUGGCACUUGGAGAACACACAAAACACACGAACGAAGUAUUGCUGUACGGUUUGGCGCAAAGAGAGGCUGGACGCAACGAAGGAGAACAAGGCAGUUCUGAGAGAAGAAGAGAAUUGGGAGUCCAACACUCCUUGAAAAAUUCAUCAUCCCCUACCGAUGUAAAGUUCGCAGAGAAACUGUGAGCUUUGAGAGCUGGUAGAAGAAAGAAAAGUAUGAAAAUAUGUUGACUACACGUACAUAAAAAUUAUGAAGAAUUGAAUACUGGAAAUGCGUCUGGUGGGGAGCAAGGGAAAUCGAUGGCUUUGUGUGGCUAGCUUAACUGAACCAACAAGCACAUUGUUCGUGGGCUUUGAUUUAGAGAUUUUUAAUCCCUCGUAGAAAAGGCGAUUAAAUAUUGACAGCGUUAUUGAUUACUAGUAUUGGUACGAAGGGUAGCGUAGUACAGCCAGAAAUGGAGAAUACGAGGCAGUAGAACUAGGAUUUCAUCAGCUCAUGCCGUUUCUUUUAAGAUGGAUUGAUCGAUAUUACUUUGUUUAUAAUUUUUUUUACAAGAAAGGGCCUGUAAACCGGAAAGAAAUUCUUGUAAUAACAAACUAUGGCCUCUUGAGAAGGCCAAGUGUGCUCUUCACGCGGUCAGGACUCGCCUGAUGGAAAAUUAAAUGCAAAACAUUGCGAGUGAGAAAAA